This 254-nucleotide ribosomal RNA is filed under the name uncultured bacterium. RNAcentral describes it as "partial 16S ribosomal RNA". It matches the Rfam family "Bacterial small subunit ribosomal RNA", at positions 524 to 776 of the family's 1533-position model. The record is from RNAcentral.
UACAGAGGGUGCGAGCGUUGUUCGGAAUUACUGGGCGUAAAGCGCGUGUAGGCGGCAGCGUGUGUCGGGCGUGAAAUCCCACGGCUCAACCGUGGAAGUGCACCCGAAACUGCGCAGCUAGAGUCCUGGAGAGGAAGGCGGAAUACUUGGUGUAGAGGUGAAAUUCGUAGAUAUCAAGUGGAACACCGGUGGCGAAGGCGGCCUUCUGGACAGUGACUGACGCUGAGGCACGAAAGCGUGGGGGAGCAAAAGGG